GUCCAGACUCCUACGGGAGGCAGCAGUGAGGAAUAUUGGUCAAUGGUCGGGAGACUGAACCAGCCAAGCCGCGUGAGGGAUGAAGGUACAGAGUAUCGUAAACCUCUUUUGUCAGGGAACAAAGGCGGGGACGUGUCCCCGGAUGAGUGUACCUGAAGAAAAAGCAUCGGCUAACUCCGUGCCAGCAGCCGCGGUAAUACGGAGGAUGCGAGCGUUAUCCGGAUUUAUUGGGUUUAAAGGGUGCGUAGGCGGGCUGUUAGGUCAGGGGUAAAAUGUCGGGGCUCAACCCCGGCCUGCCGUUGAAACUGGCGGCCCCGAGUGGGCGAGAAGUAUGCGGAAUGCGUGGUGUAGCGGUGAAAUGCAUAGAUAUCACGCAGAACUCCGAUUGCGAAGGCAGCAUACCGGCGCCCUACUGACGCUGAGGCACGAAAGCGUGGGUAUCGAACAGGAUUAGAUACCCCAGUA
This 465-nucleotide ribosomal RNA is filed under the name uncultured bacterium. Its description in RNAcentral is "bacterial SSU rRNA". It matches the Rfam family "Bacterial small subunit ribosomal RNA", at positions 329 to 792 of the family's 1533-position model. The record is from RNAcentral.